GUAGAAAAAUCAGUUUGACAACACUUAAAUUUACUUCCCUCAUAAUUGAAUAAGAGGAAAACUUCCUCAUCUAGUCAGAGUGCUGGUCCUUUUUCGGGAUAUGAGUUUGAAUAGUAUCACUGUGUAGUAGGGUCCCUUCCCUUGGGAGAUAUCCCAAAUUCAUUUAUUGGUGCAAGACACUUUUGGCUAACUUCCGGUUGCAUUCCUUCCUGUAUCAAAACAAACAUGUUGAUUAGUAGAGCACGGCCGAGGUAUUAUGAGGUGAGCUUAAUCUCUGUACCGAUUUGCCCUGUAAUGUAGGGUAUGUAUCAGGAAAUACUGUUAAUCUUUGUAAUUACUUUGCUUGUCAUUUAAUAUAAAUAGUAUAUUUCAGAGAAUUUUGAUUUCCUUUAGUGUUCUUUCCUGUGGGAAACUGUUGUUCAUUGUGGAAUAUAUUCGGGGGUUGUUCAUUAUUCGUUUCCUAGCUGAGUUGGCUACCUUGUCCCCUCUCUGCUAAAAGUGAGAGUUCAAACCUUCACAAAUCCUUUGGAGCCAUAAAAAAAGAAUGAGGAAAAGGAAAGAUUGGAGACGAUAGUAAUUUUUUGUCCCUUUCUGUUUUUUUUUUAAACUUUUCUCUCUUGCAGCCUCUCGACAAUCCUGCAGUAUUCAUGGCCCUUGCAAAGAGUAUCUCUGAUCCUUGGAAGCCUGAAGAUCCAUUUUCAGUGUUCAAACUGAAACUGGGACGGGUGUUGAAUGUGAAAUGAU
Molecule: non-coding RNA, 744 nt
Organism: Carica papaya (papaya)
Lineage: Eukaryota; Viridiplantae; Streptophyta; Magnoliopsida; Brassicales; Caricaceae
Source: RefSeq, a predicted model, not a curated record